RNAcentral lists this long non-coding RNA (2269 nucleotides) under Orbicella faveolata. RNAcentral describes it as "uncharacterized LOC110045476". The record is from RNAcentral. Lineage: Eukaryota; Metazoa; Cnidaria; Anthozoa; Scleractinia; Merulinidae.
AUAAGAAUCAAUAUACUGUUCUUGUAAACAGCUCUAAUCAAAAAGCCGGGCCUGGCGUCACAAUAUAGAAUGCAAAUAAGCAACAUGUUCCCAAAAAGUUUCAUCUUUUUUCCGGCGAAGGCAAAUACUUAGAGACUUAAAAACAUAUCUUACAAUAGAAAUGAGCCUGAACAAUGCAUAAACACAUGGCAAAUUACAGGUGUCAAACUCGGCAAAGCGGCAUGCUGAUAACAGCGGAAAUCAUGCACACCCAUGACCUCUAAAAAUCUCUGCUAUAUAUAGCACAGUCUUACAGCUCAACUCUACUUAAAAUUCCUCCCUAUAACACAACAUAAAUUGCUCCUCAUAAACACAAGUGAAGCAACAAGAAAGGUCAAGAGACCGAACAGAGAAUGGCAGGAGUCAUGUACAGCUCUUGUCAACCCCAUUUUACAACAAUGUGUUCUGAGAUUGGGGAUUGCAAACUCCAGUCACCAUUAACAUGGACGACUAAGCGAACGGGAUGGAACUGUCCUGCUUGGUGAUUGUAGUUUUGUUUAUCUGAAGGAGUGAUCACACCACAAGCAUACUAUCGGGAAACUGAGUAGCUGGUUCAGAGUCUUCAAGUGGACAAGGCUUGGAAGUGAGAUGUAAAAUGCCGACACGAAAACCAGUGGCUGAAAGUUUCUUGUGCCUACUUUCCAGUUGAUCCAAGUCUUCAGAAUUUUUUGGCUUUAUUCUGCUGCAUCUCCUGGAGUUUUUUCUUUGCAGGACAUCCUUCAAAUUUGACGUUUCGUGAUCGUCUUUUUCACUGUCAAGACUACUCAUGCUGUCAACGUCACCCAGCAUCGCCUAGAUCUUCACGACCAAAAUCCAAAGGGUUCCUUACUUUUGUUAGGCCCUCUCCUCCAGCCAAGUCCAAAUUCCCUACAGAACACUUCAUCUUACAAGAAGUUACCAGCAACAAGAACGAAAAACCACCAAACAAAGCACAAAAAUCCACAACAUUAACAAACCAGACUAAGAAAAUACAAGGUGAUUCCAGAUGUAUGAAUGCCAGUUUCAAGUGUUCUACUACGUUCUUAACUUCUGGUUAGCUGAUACCCAGUUUCCCUCAGUUGUAACAUUGGAAAAGAGAUCAAAAUAGAAAGGAAAAUGGGAGAAGGAAUAGAGAUCAGCCUUCCCCUUUGGUGGCCAUUUCUCUUUUAGGCUGUUAAGUGGACAUCUGCGAAAACAAGAUUAUUUUCCCCGAAAGUUAAAGAACUCCUGCAGAUACAUGUAUCACAAUUUUAAAAAUAAAAAUAUACGGGGCAGGGUUGAUUCAGGGUUACAAUUCGUAUGGAGGCUCUGGGUAAUUGGGCUCCUGUCAAUACCCAAUAUGUCGCAACAUGGUGGCCAAAUGCACGCAACAUGUUGCACCCAACAAUCAAUGUAUUGCAUUACAAUGUUACGGUUGCAAUCAUUUGGCCGAAGCUUGCAAGUGCUAGGCCAACAAUGUUGUGUUGAAAUGUUGUGAUCGUUUGGCCGUUGCUUUAACUGUGGGUGUAAUUUGAUUCAAGCCCUGCUGAAUCUUGGAUAGUGUGGGAACGACUGUGAAUAUUGCUGUUAGUUGACACAGACAAGCUGACCUUUGUUCUUUGUGCCACAUAUUUUAAACUUUUUUUUUUCGUCUUAUUUUCAGGUCUGACUUCUGAAUUCUCUGCUAUGGAUUCAACAGCCGUUCUUACACUUCACAGCAUGGCUAAGGAUAAAUAAGAACACAGCCACCACCGAACCAAGCUUCACUCAGUCUCAUUGUCCUUCAAGCCCAGUGAAAAGAAACAACACACAUCAGUUUACCAAUAGGCCAAUGAACGCAUUUAUACUAUUUGCUAAACGUUUUCGAGUGGAGUAAUAACCCAGGCCCACUCUGGAAAAGAUAACAGGUAAAACUUGUCACAGUGUCAUGAUUGGCAUGGACAGACAGACAGGCAGACAACAGUAUCAUCAUGGUGUUCUUCAGACUUCAGGAAAAUGUCAAGAACAGAUUUGAAAAGAUGAAAAAAUCAAAAGCUUCUUAGGACAGAAGGACAAGUGCAGGAUUAUGGCUUUCAUAACAGUCACGGUUCGUUGGCACUUAUGAUGAAUCGAAUAUUGCAAGCCAGGAAUAUUCUCAUCCAAACAAGAGACAAGUUCAUUAAGAGGUAGAAAGCAAUGUAAGCGAACGUUUAGUUCAAGAUAUUUCCGGAAGAUUCGCUGCUAAGUUUUUUUUCUUACAAGAAACUACUCGCCUAGUACAGCGAUUUUUUUU